Long non-coding RNA from Carassius gibelio (silver crucian carp), 309 nucleotides. RefSeq lists it as uncharacterized. NCBI's taxonomy places the organism in Eukaryota, Metazoa, Chordata, Actinopteri, Cypriniformes, Cyprinidae. The record is from RefSeq and is a predicted model, not a curated record. The transcript has 3 exons.
CAGACUCAUUACGGGACAAAACGACAGGCAGCGUGUCGGAGGGGAGGUUUCAGACAGAGGAGCAGGACUGCUGUGUAGAGAGGAUGCGAAGGAAAACGGAGAAUGAAGCACAGAACUACUAAAGGCAGUCUUUCUCAGGUAUAACACCACCAGCCCUGAGAGACAUGACGUUUAACUGCAGGAGUUUCCUGGAAUGAUGAUGCCGUGUGUCCCAGAGUGACAAGACAAAAAAAGUAGUUCAGCUUUCACAGCAAAACACACAUCAUCUCCACAACAUGGCGACUGCAGCAACAGUGAGAAUAAAAGCUG